Molecule: long non-coding RNA, 102 nt
Organism: Thalassophryne amazonica
Lineage: Eukaryota; Metazoa; Chordata; Actinopteri; Batrachoidiformes; Batrachoididae
Exons: 3
Source: RefSeq, a predicted model, not a curated record
UAACGUGAAGUCAGCUAACAUUUUUUUUUAAUAAAGUUUAACUGUCAGAAACAUUUGUAAUCCAUAAAAUCAUACGUUUGUUUUUUGUUUGUGCAGCUAAUA